CAAAGGUCUGGUCCUAGCCUUACUAUUUGUUUUAACUAAACUUACACAUGCAAGUCUCUUCUCCCCAGUGAAAAUGCCCUUUACCCUCUUAUUAGAGGGAGAGGAGUCGGUAUCAGGCUCAAUUAGCCCAAGACACCUAGCCAAGCCACACCCCCAAGGGACCCCAGCAGUGAUUAAUAUUAAACAUUGGCGUAAGCCAGAUUUAGUUAUAGUUAAGAAAGUCGGUUAAUUUCGUGCCAGCCACCGCGGUUAUACGAGAGACUUUAACUAAUAGACGUCGGCGUAAAGCGUGAUUAGGGGAUUAAUUCAAUAAAGUUAAACUCUAGCCUAGCUGUUAUACGCUUACGCUCUUGAGAAACCCACCAACGAAAGUAACUUUAAUACCUUCCCCCGAACUCACGGUAGCCAAGACACAAACUAGGAUUAGAUACCCUACUAUGCUUGGCCUCAAACUUUGAUUAUUUACACUCACCAUUCGCCAGGGAACUACGAGCAAUAGCUUAAAACCCAAAGGACUUGGCGGUGCCCUACACCACCUAGAGGAGCCUGUUCUAUAAUCGAUAAUCCACGAUACACCUCACCGUUUCUUGCCAAGACCGCCUAUAUACCGCCGUCGUCAACUUACCCCUUGAGGGCCACAUAGUAAGUUUAAGGGUAUUCACCAAAACGUCAGGUCAAGGUGUAGCGAAUGAAACGGAAAGAAAUGGGCUACAUUUUCUAUAUUAGAUUACACGGACAACCAAUAUGAAACUUGGUUGCGAAGGAGGAUUUAGCAGUAAAAAGAGAUCAUUAAGUUCUUUUUAACACGGCCCUAGGGCGCGCACACACCGCCCGUCGCCCUCUUCGACUCUUAAAAAUUAAUUCAUAAUAAGUUAACUAUGAAAUUAGAAGAGGUAAGUCGUAACAUGGUAAGUAUACCGGAAGGUGUACUUGGAACAGA
RNAcentral lists this non-coding RNA (940 nucleotides) under Leptobrachium ailaonicum (Yunnan mustache toad). RNAcentral describes it as "12S ribosomal RNA". It matches the Rfam family "Bacterial small subunit ribosomal RNA". The record is from RNAcentral. Lineage: Eukaryota; Metazoa; Chordata; Amphibia; Anura; Megophryidae.